GGGCAUUCAGUGUGUGUAAAGCGGCUGUAGUAUGUGUGUGGGAAUGUAGUGAAUGUGUAGGGCAUUCAGUGUGUGUAAAGCAGCUGUAGUUUGUGUGUGGGAAUGUAGUGUAUGUGUAGGGAAUUCAGUGUGUGUACAGUGGCUAUAGUUUGUGUGUGGGAAUGUAGUGAAUGUGUAGGGGAUUCAGUGUGUAAAUUAGCUGUAGUUUGUGUGUGGGAAUGUAGUGAAUGUGUAGGGCAUUCAGUGUGUGUAAAGCAGCUGUAGUUUGUGUGUGGGAAUGUAGUGAAUGUGUAGGGCAUUCAGUGUGUAAAUUAGCUGUAGUUUGUGUGUGGGAAUGUAGUGAAUGUGUAGGGCAUUCAGUGUGUGUAAAUUAGCUGUAGUUUGUGUGUGGGAAUGUAGUGAAUGUGUAGGGCAUUCAGUGUGUGUAAAGCGGCUGUAGUUUGUGUGUGGGAAUGUAGUG
Non-coding RNA from Pelobates cultripes (western spadefoot toad), 460 nucleotides. The record is from the annotation of a GenBank genome assembly. Lineage: Eukaryota; Metazoa; Chordata; Amphibia; Anura; Pelobatidae.